RNAcentral lists this ribosomal RNA (803 nucleotides) under Bacillus sp. FJAT-17408. Its description in RNAcentral is "bacterial SSU rRNA". It matches the Rfam family "Bacterial small subunit ribosomal RNA", at positions 81 to 868 of the family's 1533-position model. The record is from RNAcentral. Lineage: Bacteria; Bacillati; Bacillota; Bacilli; Caryophanales; Bacillaceae.
GCUCCCGGAUGUUAGCGGCGGACGGGUGAGUAACACGUGGGUAACCUGCCUGUAAGACUGGGAUAACUCCGGGAAACCGGAGCUAAUACCGGAUAGUUCCUUGAACCGCAUGGUUCAAGGAUGAAAGACGGUUUCGGCUGUCACUUACAGAUGGACCCGCGGCGCAUUAGCUAGUUGGUGAGGUAACGGCUCACCAAGGCGACGAUGCGUAGCCGACCUGAGAGGGUGAUCGGCCACACUGGGACUGAGACACGGCCCAGACUCCUACGGGAGGCAGCAGUAGGGAAUCUUCCGCAAUGGACGAAAGUCUGACGGAGCAACGCCGCGUGAGUGAUGAAGGUUUUCGGAUCGUAAAGCUCUGUUGUUAGGGAAGAACAAGUGCAAGAGUAACUGCUUGCACCUUGACGGUACCUAACCAGAAAGCCACGGCUAACUACGUGCCAGCAGCCGCGGUAAUACGUAGGUGGCAAGCGUUGUCCGGAAUUAUUGGGCGUAAAGGGCUCGCAGGCGGUUUCUUAAGUCUGAUGUGAAAGCCCCCGGCUCAACCGGGGAGGGUCAUUGGAAACUGGGAAACUUGAGUGCAGAAGAGGAGAGUGGAAUUCCACGUGUAGCGGUGAAAUGCGUAGAGAUGUGGAGGAACACCAGUGGCGAAGGCGACUCUCUGGUCUGUAACUGACGCUGAGGAGCGAAAGCGUGGGGGAGCGAACAGGAUUAGAUACCCUGGUAGUCCACGCCGUAAACGAUGAGUGCUAAGUGUUAGGGGGUUUCCGCCCCUUAGUGCUGCAGCUAACGCAUUAAGCACU